AGCGCGAAUGGGUUCUCGCGCGCAUCACCGAAACGGCCUGAUUUGACUUUUAGUCACGGGGUCGAGGGUUCGAGCCCCUCUCGCGCUU
RNAcentral lists this transfer RNA (88 nucleotides) under Bradyrhizobium sp. 6(2017). RNAcentral's name for it is "tRNA-OTHER". The record is from RNAcentral. Lineage: Bacteria; Pseudomonadati; Pseudomonadota; Alphaproteobacteria; Hyphomicrobiales; Nitrobacteraceae.